This 1455-nucleotide long non-coding RNA is filed under the name Equus asinus (donkey). Its description in RNAcentral is "lncRNA (ENSEASG00005029466.1)". Lineage: Eukaryota; Metazoa; Chordata; Mammalia; Perissodactyla; Equidae. The record is from RNAcentral.
CUAGUUUAAGUUGUAAAAAAAGGGGCUAAGGUUCACCAAUGUUCCCAACUGAAAAGUUUUAUUAAAACACAUGUUUUAGACAUUUUCGAAAUGUUUUGAAAAAACAUUAAGUAAACUUAGUCCACUAAUGCGAAGUCACCGAAAAUUUUUUCCUUACCGAUUAGUUUAAAAAACUUUUAUUACAAAAGUCAUCAAUGCAGAUUCUUCUCUGACUUUGUAUUAAGUUCAGCCAAAUUUUGUUAUGUGAGAUCAUCCUUUAGGUUAUUUCAGCUUGUGAACCGCCAUACACUACAGCUUUCUGCCUCCACUAAACACUGCCAUGGAGGUGGGAAUGGAGGCCUUGGAGGGAAAGCAGAAGGCGUGGAUUUGGCUUCUGGUCUGAUUUUGCUUCAAGAUUCAGAGAUGUAUAGGUUUAUCACGCUCUUGCUAAACUGAAUGACUUCAACCCUUGGUGUCCCGUUUCCUUGUUUUUUCAUGUUCCUUGAAGUCUUGCCUUGCUGUCUUCACCCCUGAAGAAGCAGUCACUUCCUCCAUCAAGCGACUGGCUUCAGGAGAGAAACACACACCUUGGGUCGCCCUGAGAGGGACUGAGGCGUUCUCAGACCGUUUCUGUGGCCACGUGUGCUCCACACUUCUUGUUCCUUCUUGGGAGGGAAUUCUUAAGGUUGUCUGCCUUCUCUGGAUGCUGCAGAGCCAGGCCGGUGCGGGCAGCCUCCCUUUUGCUUUCUCCAGGUCCCAUUGAACGCUGAAGUUUGCAUGCUUUCUCUCCAUCCCGCUCACUAGCCAUCUGCGAAGACUCACCAACCUUGGGUGGGGGUCGGGUGCGCACCCACAGCACCGGCCAGGGGGUGGGGGUGUGGGGACUGAGAUGUGCGCAGCACUGGGGUGUCCGUGGGCCGUCUGGGGAGAUCCGCAGGCAAGCUGUCCCCAGCAGCUUGUGGGUGGGCUUCCUGAUGGAGUCCGCAAAGUGGCUGGUAGAAUGGUCCUUUCGAUGCCCUCCGAGAGCCCGGGCUGCCUUCUCCCAGCCCCCUCCGCCCCCCACCGGUCGUGCAGCACACCCGGCGUUCUGGAUGCGGGGAGAGAGAGAAGUGGGCAGGCUCCCCUACAGUUGGGGAAGCCAGACGCUCACGCCCACGCCCUCACCUCCCCCUUGGGGAGAAAUCGCUGUGUGCUGGAAUUUCGCGGGUGUCUGGGAUUCCCACAAAGGUGCUCUUAUCCGCGGAUGAUGUUCAACAUCAGUGUUCGUUGGGCGUAAAGUGGAGUAUUCCAGAGACUACAUGAUGGAUGACAUUGCAACAGAUUGAACGCAGAAGCGCGUAUGAGAAUAUAGCCAUCUUCUCUCAAUCCAUACAUUAAAGAGACUCUCAAAAAUGUACAACACUAUCACAAUUCUCACUAAUUUUUUGUUUUGGAAAAUACAGUGACUUUUUGUUAAAAAUAGAUUAUCUAUAGUAG